GCUCUGCUGGCUGUCCCGCAGGACCCAGCGCCGCGGUAGCCUUCUCUAAACUGCGGCUCAGGCGGAGGUGUCACUCCUGCCUCCAGCCCAGGAGGGCAGGUCAGGUUAUACAACGCGUGCCGUGCGAUCUCCCCCCACCUCCAACCUCCUUUUUUCCCGGGUCCACACCGCAGUUCCCACUGCUCCGUGUGUCCUCCCCAGUGCGCCGCGAUUUUUGUGUCCAAGCCCCAGAGUCACUCUGAGACCAACCCCCAGCCAGCAUAGACUUCCUGCCUCCCCAGCUCGGGGAUGUGGUCUCAUUAGGUUGCCCAAGCUGGACUUGUACUCUUGGCCUCAAGAGGUCCUUCCAUCUCAGUCUCCCAAGUAGCUGGGACUACAGGCAUGCACCACUACACUCAGCCAAAUACUUUCAAUAACUUGCCAGCUGACAACUUGAUUGGGUUCUCCUUCAGGUUUGAAGCGCCCUUGAGAAUGUCUUAAGGAGACAGCUGAUAGACAAACAACAGUUUUGGAUUCACUGACUGAUUAUGAAAGAAGCAGUAGACUGGUGUCAAGAAUCAGUCAGAAAGGAGGCCCUCACCAGAUGCCAGUGCCGUGUUCUUGGACUUCUCAGCCUCCAUAUUCAUGAACUAAGUUUUUGGAAUCCUUACGUUUCCACAUGUGGAAAGCCUGAGCUAACCUACUGGAGGAUGAGCCAUCACCUGGAGCAGACUCAGGCCAUCCUAGUUGAAGCCUCCCCAAGCCAAGCAACCUUCCAACUACCAGACAUUGACCAUUCAGCCUUGAACAUUCAGCACAAAGACAAAACAGACCAGACCAGAAGAGUCCCACAGAAUAGGGGAAACUAUUCAGAGAAAACUUAAGCCACUAAGUUUUAUGGUGUUUUGUUCUGUAGCAGAAGCAUACUGACAAUACAAACCGAAAUCCUUCUAAUGUAGUGGACCUUUUCAGGCCAGCAUUUUUUCCUUGAAAACCUGGAGCAUGUAUCCAUCUUAUAGCAGAGAUCACUUUCACAAUGUUUGGGCUCUUGAUUUGAAUUGAUGAUGUAAUGAGCCCUCUAUCCAGAUUGUAACUAAUUACUCUGCCACUUGACUGGAUUCCACACCCUUCUAAUAUUUUACUUUUCCUCUUUUAUCAACUCUCAUUCUCUCUGCCAUGAUCAAUAGACCAACUAUGCUUAUAACCACAAAUUUUGAUAUGCUUAAACAAAUGAACAAAUAUAUUUAAUAAUUUCUUUUUUUUUUUUUUAAAUGGUAUCUUGCUCUGUCACCCAGGCUGCAGUGCAGCAGUGUGAUCUCAGCUCACUACAACCUCCACCUCCCGGGUUCAAGUGAUUCUCCUGCCUCAGCCUCCCAAGUAGCUGGGACGACAGGUGCCCGCCACCAUACCCGGCUAAUUUUUUGUAUUUUUAGUAGAGACAGGGUUUAUCCAUGUUGGCCAGGCUGGUCUUGAACUCCCAACCUCAAGCGAUCCUCCUGCCUCAGCCUCCCAAAGUGCUGGGAUUACAGAUGUGAGCCACCAUGCCCAGACAAUAAUUUCUCGAUAUAAUAAAAAUGCCAAUGCUAUACAAUUAAUAGUAAAGUGAUAAAAAGUAGAAUAACAUGAUAACCAUUAAUUAAUAUAUAUUACAUAAUCAUC
Molecule: long non-coding RNA, 1638 nt
Filed under: Pongo abelii (Sumatran orangutan)
Lineage: Eukaryota; Metazoa; Chordata; Mammalia; Primates; Hominidae
Description: lincRNA
Source: RNAcentral